Solenopsis invicta (red fire ant) is the source of this 1492-nucleotide RNA transcript. It is a transcript of the gene named elongation of very long chain fatty acids protein 1, with no coding region annotated. NCBI's taxonomy places the organism in Eukaryota, Metazoa, Arthropoda, Insecta, Hymenoptera, Formicidae. The record is from RefSeq and is a predicted model, not a curated record. The transcript is spliced from 8 exons.
AAUAAGUGCACACAUUCAGUUCCGAUCGUCACAUCAUACGGUUGCUUUCCGAUAUAAGAGAAAUGAAUAAUACUAGUUAAACGGUGAUAUUUUGUUGUAAACAAAAGUAAAUUUAUAAAAUCAAUACAGUGCAAUUACCUAUCAUGGACUGUUUGCAAUAUAUAUCUUAUUCCUGAACAAAAGAGCUCGAUCCACGAGUAAUCGAUCUACCAUUAGUUGUUCCUUCCUAUCAAGUACCACUUAUAAUAUUCAUAUAUCUGUACUUCAUGCUUGACUGUGGACCUAAAUUCAUGAAAAACAGGCUGCUACGAGUUGAAAACGUUCAUACAACUGUACAAUAUUAUUCAAAUAUUGGCAAAUACGUGGUUAAUUUACGAUAUAAUUGACACUGGUUUGUUCUCGAGCAAGAUAAUAUGUCCUGUUCUUGAUUUUUCGUAUGAUCGUAUUCCAAUGAAGCACACUAGAUGUGCAUGGUACUACUUUUGGUUAAAAAUAUGUGAUCUCGUCGAAACAGGCAUAUUUAUAUUAAGGAAGAAAGGCAAUCAGGUAUCUGGUUUGCAUUUGUAUCAUCACGCCUCUACUUUAUUUGUAUCGUGGUUAUGUGUAAGAUAUUAAUCUGUUGUUCCCUUAUUUGCUUCUUGCACAAUCAACUGCUUGAUACACGUAAUAAUGUACAUAUACUACUUUCUAACAUCCUGUGGACCGAACGUUCAAAAAAUUGUUGCACCUAUAAAACAAUGGAUAACUACAACGCAACUGAUACAAUUCAUCGUGCUAAUAUUGUCGCAUCCAUUAACACUACGUUAUCCACGAGUAUCCAAUCUACUGUUCGUUGAUUCUGUCUAUCGAAUACUACUAAUAAUAUUCGCAUAUCUAUACUUCGUGCUCAUUUAUGGGCCUAAAUUCAUGAAAAACAGGCCACCAUACAAAUUAAAGAUGUUUAUACAAUUGUAUAAUAUCAUUCAAAUUUUCGUAAAUACGCUUAUGAUUAACGGUGCAAUUGACAUUACUAUAGGUGGAGAGAUUUAUUUAUUGUUAAAAAUAUUUGAUUUGGUCGAAACAGUCUUAUUUAUAUUAAGAAAGAAAGACAAUCAGAUUUCAGUUGUAAAUUCAUCGGAUUUCUUUGUGCAAUCAACUGCUUAAUACACGUGAUAAUGUACACGUAUUACUUCCUGGCAGCCUGUGGACUGACCGUCCAAAAAACUAUUGCACCUAUAAAACGAUGGAUAACUAUAGCACAAAUGAUACAAUUCAUCGUGCUGCUACUGUAUGUAUCGCAUCCAUUGAUAUUCGGUUGCAAAGUCACAAGUAAUUGGCUCUUCAUAAUGUUUAUUACACAUUUAUUAAUAAACUUUUUCAAUUUCCUUAAAUUCUAUCAAACGUCGUACAAGAAAUAUAAAAAAAGUCAGUAGAUUAUAAAUUAUAAGUUGUACGAGUAGUUCUAUACACACAAAAAAUAAAUUCUUAUUUUACGUAUAUUUUUAUUCUUGAA